UACCAGCACCCCGAGUGGUCGGGGCGAUUAUUGGGCCUAAAGCAUCCGUAGCCGGUCCUGCAAGUCUUCCGUUAAAUCCAGCUGCUCAACAGAUGGGCUGCGGGGGAUACUACAUGGCUAGGAGGCGGGAGAGGCAAGCGGUACUUUAUGGGUAGGGGUAAAAUCCGUUGAUCCAUAGAAGACCACCAGUGGCGAAGGCGGCUUGCCAGAACGCGCUCGACGGUGAGGGAUGAAAGCUGGGGGAGCAAACAGG
This 253-nucleotide ribosomal RNA is filed under the name uncultured bacterium. Its description in RNAcentral is "partial 16S ribosomal RNA". It matches the Rfam family "Archaeal small subunit ribosomal RNA", at positions 474 to 727 of the family's 1478-position model. The record is from RNAcentral.